Molecule: transfer RNA, 71 nt
Filed under: Cordylochernes scorpioides
Lineage: Eukaryota; Metazoa; Arthropoda; Arachnida; Pseudoscorpiones; Chernetidae
Description: tRNA-Gly
Source: RNAcentral
UGCAUCAGCCGGGAAUCGAACCCGGGGGGCCAGCGUGGCAAGCGAGCAUUCUACCACUGAACCACCGAUGC